UAAUACGUAGGUGGCAAGCGUUGUCCGGAGUUACUGGGUGUAAAGGGCGUGUAGGCGGGAAGAUAAGUCAGAUGUGAAAUUCCAUGGCUCAACUGUGGCGCUGCAUCUGAAACUAUUUUUCUUGAGUGAUGGAGAGGAAAGUGGAAUUCCUAGUGUAGCGGUGAAAUGCGUAGAUAUUAGGAGGAACACCAGUGGCGAAGGCGACUUUCUGGACAUUAACUGACGCUGAGGCGCGAAAGCGUGGGGAGCAAACAGG
RNAcentral lists this ribosomal RNA (256 nucleotides) under uncultured prokaryote. RNAcentral's name for it is "partial 16S ribosomal RNA". It matches the Rfam family "Bacterial small subunit ribosomal RNA", at positions 521 to 776 of the family's 1533-position model. The record is from RNAcentral.